Molecule: long non-coding RNA, 6436 nt
Organism: Numida meleagris (helmeted guineafowl)
Lineage: Eukaryota; Metazoa; Chordata; Aves; Galliformes; Numididae
Exons: 5
Source: RefSeq, a predicted model, not a curated record
CUGUUACAGCCUUUUUUUCUGAGUGGAUCCAGUCACAAGAAUGGAUUAGACUUGGAAGGAAACUCCCUUUCGUCUUGAGAUUUGGCCAAAGAUGCCACUGAGAAUUUGACCAGCCUCGCUUUUCUCAGUGGUCAAGAGUUGUAACUAGGGUAGAGAUAAUCUACAUUUGUUGUUGGGAACUUUAUUCUUUUUUGGUAUGGAAACAAAUUAUCUGUGUUUUCCCGCUGAAUCAUUUCCAUGAUUCCUUGCAGCUUUCAUGAAUCAGAGCUGUGGAUAAUCCAUAGAGAAGUUAACAUCUUUAUUUACUGCUUACUCUGAUGCAUCAGAGUUGACACCUCCUCAGAAGAGAGAACAAAACUUCCCUUUAGAUUCUCUUCUCUUCAUCCUGUUAAGCAUCCCAAAUUAGAGAAUCUAUCACCCACCAUCUCUCUGUGGCUUCUCUAGUCUUGGCACUGCUUGCACUGCAGGGAGAUGACGUUUCCCUUGGUCUCACCAGCUUUGGUCUCACCAGCUCAGAUACCAGAAGCAACAGGGAUUAUGUGCUGAGGAAUCUAUUUUUGCUUGCUUAGCUUUUGGUUUUAAGUUGAAUGUUUUACUUAAAAAUCACUUUAUACUAUUGCAGGGGGUAGAGGCUGCUUCUGGAGUCUGCCUGAGGAUCCCGCUUCUCACUUUCUCUGCUGACGUUGCCAUAUAGUUGCUAGAUUCAGUCACUUUUCUUUCUUUUCUUCUGCUUCAUUCUUCCUUGCUCAUCUCAUCUUAGAUUAUUCCUCACUGAGAUGUUCCUUUUCACUGGACCUCAGUGAAGUAUUUCCAUACCCUGGCAGAUGUUCCUGACACAAAAGUUGGCCCUUCUGUCUUGGCCAGUGUGGGACCAAAAAGUUUCCCUACCUGCUGGUGCCCUUGUGGUGACCUCUCAUCAUUCCCUGAGUGAAUCCAUCCCUCUGCACAUUUAUGCUCCUCAGGCUGAUCAGAAAAUAUGCAUCUCAAACAGCUCAUCUCAGCCUAGGGCAGAAGUCAUGGCGUGUCAGUCACCGCUUCCUUUGACUUUUUGGCCUUUUUGGAGGGCUGCAGCAUUUCCUCCUCUCAGAAUACACGAGUCCAUGUGGCACCUCUCCUCUCGACCCCACUGGGUAAGUAUCCUGCAGCCCUAUUCUGGGAUAGUCAUGUUUUGGCAUGUGACAGAGGGAUGAAUGGGACUUUCUGUUCUGCUGGAAACAAAGGAUGGCUCCAGACCCCUUUGGAGACCCCCAGGAAAACAGCAAUCUUCUUGUACAAUCAACUAGUGACCUUGAGACAAAAUUGAUUUCAAGGCUGAUGUUAAGUGUCACUUAAAUGACCAGAAUUAAGAUCCUACUUCUUAAUUAAGCAAUGAUUCUACUUAGCAGCAAGGAGCAACGCAGCAUCAUGCAGGCUUCAUGCCUGACACGAACUAUCCUUCCAUUUAAAAGGUGACAUAUUGAGUGCAAUUAAUUUUAUUUUCUGCUGUCAUUGGGCUGAACAGAUUCCUGUGCAAGCAGCACAGAAGGUGGCUUGGCAAGGCUGGCUAGCUCAGGGGAACCAUAGCUCAGAAAUGCUGAUAUCCUUGCUGAAAUCCUUGGUGAUAUACUAGAAGACGACUGAUAUUUUGUCUUCAUACUACCUGUAAGCCUGGAGGAUUGAUGUCUGCAGCUUGGGGCUAAGGUUUGGAAACCAGACACGUUCUCAAGUCAUUGACAGAGCAUGUGUAUGAGAUCCUGCUGAAGUUUGUCAUCUGUCCAUCAGUGUCUCCUGCUGAUGCUUUAGUCAUCUUUUGUGAGAAAAAUACAAAUCUGUGGAGAAAUGAAAUACAGUGGCUUAAUCAUAUCACAGGAAAGAACAUGCAGCUUUUGCUUUUGGUUUGUGAGUUGUUGGAAGGAUACACUGUGAAAAUGUAUCUCUGCAGCCAAACUUCCAUGGUUUCUACAGUUUAUUUUCCAUGAAAAAAGUUAAGAUAAGGAAAAAAAAAAUAUUUUAACCCAAAUGUAGUCUCGAGCACCUGAUUUGUCCCUUUGACUUGGCCAGUGCUCAUCCUCUUUAACAUCCCCUGGUUCCUCUUAGCACAGGCUUUAGAUCAGCUAGUAUUCAUCUACCUUGAGAGCCUCUGCUCUUUCCCAUAACCUUAUCAAUUCCUGCCCAUGUGGUCCUCAAAUAUGGCAAUAUUUGAUAUUCACAAUAGAAAGGGCUUAUAGAUACAACCUACGUAGCAUGAAUUUCUUACAUCAUAGCAAAAGUCUUGUGAAUAAGUGCAACCAAGAGCAUGCUACUAUGAUGGAAGAGGCCAGUCCACAGUUAAAUGAAUGGCAAUCAAGUUUCAGGAUAUCAAGUUGGGACCAUCUCUGAGCAGUAACAUUAGGGCCAACAUGCACAAUUUGAGGAAUUGUGGAAACAGAUUGAUGACUUUCUAGGCAAAGCCACUAGAACAACAGUCAUAAGGCAUUGGUAAAUAAAAAUAAUCGCUUCUGUUUCAGGAUUCAAUCACUGGAUUUAACCUGCAGGUAGAAUAAUCUUGGGACUGUUCCCUAAAAUUGUGCUGUUUCUGUGUGAUCUUAUGUUAGAGGAAUCAGAUAAUGUAAGCGUGGUUGUAGAGUUGAGAAAUAGCUGCAAGAAUCAUUGGAGAGGUUCAGCUUACAGCCUCUAUUAUAGGAAUGCACACAAACAUAUUGACCCACCUACAAAAUGAACAUAUCUAGGUACCCUAGCAUGCAUUCAGGCUUAGUCUGGAGGUGGGUGUCAGGAUACUGGUGGCAUUAAUUGGUCUUAAUAGCCCUGAACAGCCUCACCUGAGACCUCCACACACCCCCAUAGCCCAUUUCAGCUGUAGCACCUAUUUCAGUUCAGCCUAUAGGGCUGCUCUCUGGUUUGGUCCUAACCGUUGGCUCUGCUGGGCUGUGACCCAUGGCUUGGACUUGGGAUGUGCCUUGUCACCGUGAGCUGACAAGAUUUGGGCUUUUGGUUGAACCUGACUGCUGAGUCCUGCUCUGCUCAGGUACUCUGGAACAGGAUCCUUCUCACAGCAGCCUCCUGUACGGCUUGACCAGACUGCCCCUCAGUGGGAUAACUCUGGGGAUUCCCCGAGAAGUAGCAAAUACUAUCGGCAUGCCUAUGCAGCGCUGCUUUCCUGGGGCCUUGUCACUUCUGCAGUAGAUAAUGGAGCUACACCAGCAUCUCUGGUCCUUCUGGAUGCUGCUGCUCGCUGUGGCUACGCUCUGAUUCUCCUGCCUGCAGGGAUCCCAGUUCCUAGUGCAGUGCAUAACCUGCUCAUAUGCCAAGGCAUGGAUGCUGGAAGCUGUUUUUUGCCUGCGUCUUCUUUGAGCAUCAGUAUCUCUGGAAAAUACAAUGCUGGAGCUGUGAGCCUAGCCCUGAUAUAAGAACCUCUGAGGGGAAAAAAAAAAAAGCCAUGAAUGAUUCAUAGAUGCAAGGGGGGAAAAAGACGAAGAGAGAGAGGGAGAGAAAGAGAGAUUAAGAGAGAGAAGCUUCAAAGUGACUGGAGCGGAUUUGAAGUCCUGAGCGUUCCUGUGCUGGGCAGGCCAGCAAUUCACCAGAGAGACCCCGUCAAGCUCCCCCCAUCCUUCGCCCCGGCCUCAUCCCUGCUGCCUCCUCCUCCUCCUCCUCACCGCCAACGCAGCCUCCCAGUCGCAGGUUCAAAGUUCAGCAGCAUCUAAUGACGGGAAGGCCUCCCAAACCCUCUGUGAGUGGCAUCUGUUUAUAGGCACGGCCCUUCCCUGGUGGUUUAGCCUGGCUCAAAAUAAAAUAAAAUAAAAGAGGAGGAGGAAGAGCGGAAUGAGACACAGGGCUCUUAAAAAAAAAAAAGUAUGAAAAAAUCUACUGGUGAUGAAGUGCCUUUGAUUCUGAAUAUUAAAAAAGCCCGUUAGAUUUAAAUGUAGUGAGAAUAUUAACGCUACUGCCUUGAUUUGUAUUCACUGGCUACCAUGGGUACACUUUGGGAGUGUGAAAGAAAAAUAUGGCUCAUGCCUGGGUGGGAUGCUGGCCUUCCCAGCAAGAAGCAGCCAGGGGGACAGAGGGACGGGUUAUCCCCUCUCCAUCCAUGCUCCUGGCCAUCGGAGGGAUGGCGACAUCCAAAGGCACAACUGGUGGGAUCAGCACCUGCAUGGUUAAAACUCAUUGUUCUUUUGCAGAAAAAUUCAGGCAUUUCAAAACUUGGUUUUGCUGUGCCCAGAAUAAAGGAGUAUCCUCUUCCAGGCAAUCCAAGUCUCAAAAUUAUUUUUUCCCCUGUUUUAUUUAAUAUCAUUAAAUUUUUGCUCCUUCAAUUUAAUGAUGUGAUUGAAUUAAAUGCAUGAACUAUCAUAGCAGACCUGCAGAGGAAGUGAGUGAAGUCUAGGGCAAAUCCUGUAAGACCUGUUAUUGUUUAUAUGUCACAAAAUAAAUGACACAACAAUGAAUGGCUAAUACUUUAAUUAGCAUUACAUGCUGACUUUAUUUUAUUAAUCAAAGGCAGUAACAGUCAGUGGUCUAAUGAAACAGCUUGAUGUUUUAAUACUUCCAAAAGAGAAAAAGAGAUAAGGACUCUGCACUAAUUAGAGUAGCAGCUGAUUUUAGGAAAAAAAAAAAUCUGAAAUUGUUGCCUGGCUAAAACAAGGAUAUCAAACACGGCAAAUACUCCAAUUUAUAAAAGGAAAAAAAUGAAAAAUAAAACCAGAAGCUUUUAAGAUGUUGAGAAUAGAAGAAAUGAUAGGCAGCUGUACUGUCAUAUCGUAUGUCCCAACCUGUCAUUAGUACUACCAAGUGUUGCGACAUGAGGUGUUCCAACAGAAAUAGAAAGAAAUCAUAUUGAACAAAUAACGCUGUUCCAAGUAUUAGACCACAAUUAAUAUUUAAUAUCAUAGUGCAGUUUCUGAAAUUUCUGAAUUACUCUUAGGAUUUCAAAUACUCUAAAUCCAAUGGAAAUCAAAAUCAAACAAUUUGGCAAAAGUAUUUUCAUUUUGACUUGGGCUUUUUUAGAAGGAAAACUUCAGUGCUGAGGUUUUCUAAGGGCCCACAUCUUAGCAGGGAGCUGGACAGAUGCUGGAACCUCUAAUGAAUACGUGCACAGAAAUGGGUUAAUGUCUGUUUUAAUGGCUGACUCCCUGGCCAUGUGUGUCCUCCACACAGAUGGCCCAUUGCUUAGAUUGUCGCUGGCAACUGGAAAGGCAAUAUGGAUGUACAUUGGACUGCCACACUGUGGGUGUUCCUUGCAAACAGCCAGCUGUCAAGUCUCAAAAAAUUGAAGAGAACCCAGGUUGGAGUUGGAGCAAAGCAGCUGAUCUCACCAUAACAACAGCAAACACUGACUUGGACAAGUCCAGGUUUCCACCUACAGUUCUUUAAUCAGUCUCAGCAUACAGGUGGAUUGCAAAGUAAGGAAUAAUACAUCACCAGCAUGAGGUCUGGGUACUCCAAGACACAUUGACCAUGAUGUCCUGGUCAGACCACUAUCUCAGGCUUCACUUGUUCAAUUCUUGACAUGUUGGAUCUGGACAACCACUUUUUCUUUGCCUGGUUUUGAGCUUCACCCAAAUUGCCUGCUGGACUUGCUGUGGACACGUCACUCAAUGCAACAUCUACACUUUCCUUGAACACCUCUAGAGUUGGUGACUCCACCACCUCCCCGUGCAACCUCCUGAUCAUCUGCAGAAGUUACUGACCGUUGUGUGUAGAUCUCUACAGUAACUGUAUAGCAGGCAGGGUGUAGCAAAUUUGCAGAGCAGAUGGUCUGAGACGUUCCUGGUCCUCAAACAGAGAAGUCUGAGGAGAGGGACCAAGCAUAACUCUGAUGCAAAUUUGUUAGUCAGUGCCUUGAAAAUCCCACCUCUGUGUGACAAACGCAUAAGAACUGGCAUAAAAUGGACUGUAUCACCUCCCAACUCCUCACUCUCACUGUUUGAGCUGAAGUUGCAUUCUUUCAGCAAAAGCUCAUGAAGUGGUUGAACUCAGUGACGCUGGACCAGCUUGUACUAGCAGAGCCUGUGUCCAUACGUUGCCACUGUGGAGUGCAAUGUGAUUUCCCCCAGAGGAAAAUUUCUGUUGCAAUGCACAGGCAUAUAAGGAAGCACAAUUAACUUCUCUGGAGGAGCCUAAAGCCUGUUUUCCUUGAGUGUUGUGUAAUUAAAACCUCAGUCUUGUUAAUACAUUAGUGAGAUGUUUGCAUAUAAUUCAUCAAAUGUUUAUGAAAAUGCGUAACAAAUAAUCCUGACAAACAAGUUGCUUAAUUGAGAUAAGGGAUGGGAAGCCUUGUGAAUUUUUAAUAAAAAGGGGGAAAGAAAGCAUGCUACGUUAAUCAGAUGAAGUUAUCUCAUUCAAUAUUUCCAAGUGACUUCUCCAGUGCACAUUUUAUUUAAUAUAUUACACAAAAGGAAUAACUUGAUCCCCCAGUGAGAUCUGUGUAGAAAAUCCUCUCUUGCAACAAACACAGCAUUGGCUU